GUGCUUCCUUAUUGGCACAAAAGUUAAAUCUGGAACAAGGCAGGCAAGAUUAACAUGGCUACUCUAUAAGAACAAUAUGCAAAUCUAUAAGGUAUUUUCUAUAGUG
Aotus nancymaae (Ma's night monkey) is the source of this 106-nucleotide small nuclear RNA. The record is from Ensembl. Lineage: Eukaryota; Metazoa; Chordata; Mammalia; Primates; Aotidae.